AGGGAGGAUAGGUGGAGAAGAAGAGGUGGAUUAAUUCACUUACCUCUGAUGUCACAAUCUCACUACAGAACAAUGGACUGUUCGUAUGGCUUCAGUAGGUGAAGCAGAGUUGAGAAAAGAAGAGGAAAGAGCAGUAGAACAGAAGGGGAAAGAAAGGUUAGGUGCACAAGAGCACCAAUCGUACUCGUCCUAAAAUGGAGGCCAUAAUGCUAGACACUGACGAGCCAGUUCUUGAACAACUGUUAGUCAGUUCUGAGAAAUCAGCUUGGACGAAACAUCCAAGUGACACCUUUUCCAGACAAACGAUGGCUGAACACGUUUCUUGUUACAAUCAUAUAUAUCUCAACUCCAUCAACGACUCCUAUUUUACAAGUGGCUUAUCCAGAUUCCUUGGCUGCUAAUCAUCAUCAUCCUCUGGUUGAAAAUUUUUCUCCAUCUCCAGUUUCCCUCAUCUGUGCUAAAAAAUUCCUCCUCCAUCACCACCAGCAAUGGCUCUCAACCUUGGACUCAAAUUCUCGAUUCCACCUCCCACACAAUGAAUCCAUGCUAGCUCCUGAAUUCCACAGUCUUGCACCAUGCUCUCGUGUGG
Long non-coding RNA from Mauremys reevesii (Reeves's turtle), 589 nucleotides. RefSeq lists it as uncharacterized. The transcript is spliced from 4 exons. The record is from RefSeq and is a predicted model, not a curated record. NCBI's taxonomy places the organism in Eukaryota, Metazoa, Chordata, Testudines, Geoemydidae.